UGGGGAAUAUUGGACAAUGGGCGCAAGCCUGAUCCAGCCAUGCCGCGUGAGUGAUGAAGGCCUUAGGGUUGUAAAGCUCUUUCGCCGACGAAGAUAAUGACGGUAGUCGGAGAAGAAGCCCCGGCUAACUUCGUGCCAGCAGCCGCGGUAAUACGAAGGGGGCUAGCGUUGUUCGGAAUCACUGGGCGUAAAGCGCACGUAGGCGGAUUGUUAAGUCAGGGGUGAAAGCCUGGAGCUCAACUCCAGAACUGCCCUUGAUACUGGCAAUCUCGAGUCCGGAAGAGGUAAGUGGAACUGCGAGUGUAGAGGUGAAAUUCGUAGAUAUUCGCAAGAACACCAGUGGCGAAGGCGGCUUACUGGUCCGGUACUGACGCUGAGGUGCGAAAAGCGUGGGGAGCAAAACAGGAUUAGAUACCCUGGUAGUCCACGCCGUAAAACGAUGGAGGCUAGCCGUUGGCGAGCAUGCUCGUCAGUGGCGCAGCUAACGCAUUAAGCCUCCCGCCUGGGGAGUACGGUCGCAAGAUUAAAACUUAAAUGAAUUGACGGGGUCAUAGCUGUUUCC
Molecule: ribosomal RNA, 562 nt
Filed under: uncultured bacterium
Lineage: Bacteria
Description: partial 16S ribosomal RNA
Rfam family: Bacterial small subunit ribosomal RNA
Source: RNAcentral